Gopherus flavomarginatus (Mexican gopher tortoise) is the source of this 4213-nucleotide long non-coding RNA. RefSeq lists it as uncharacterized. The transcript has 3 exons. Lineage: Eukaryota; Metazoa; Chordata; Testudines; Testudinidae. The record is from RefSeq and is a predicted model, not a curated record.
CUGUCCCUGUUUGUGCCUCUCGCCUCUCACCCCUGAUACAAAUUCUCUCUAGUUUUGCCCCUUUGCUCUCUCAGUGUCUCACAGGGGCUAUAAAAUCUGGGGAGAUUUGCCCCCUCCCCCCCCGCAAUGCUCUGUUCUCUCGUCUCCCCUGAUUUCCACUCGGUCUCUCCAUGAGUCUGAUUUUCCACCUUCAGUUGCUUAGUUUGUGACACCUUUUCUCUGCAGAUCUGAGAGGUUGAUAUAAAAUACCCUAAACAUUUGCCCCACUUCUCUCUAGUUGUUUGUUUCUAAUUGAAUAUGCCCUGAGAUUUUCCCUUCUCUCUUUAAUUAUAAAAUAGCAAGAAAAUCUCAGAUUUACACCUUUCCUCAGCUUCUUGAACAUGGAUACAAAAGGUUUGCAAAUGAUGCCUAUUUCCUCUCUAUUCAUUUAACAAACAUUGAUGUGAAACACUGAGAUUUUACUGAAUAUCUGAUGUAAACUGAUGUAAAAUCCCUUUGAUUUUCCACUUUUCUCACUAUUAUUUGCAAAAAUAGAGCCAAAAUCUCUCAGAUUUCCAGCCUUUCAUUUCUGUGUUAUUUUCAAAUGUCAAUUAAAAAUCCUUUCAUGUUUGGGGCUGUUCCCUGUGUUUCUCAAUUCCAGCAACUUCUCCUUUCUUGGAAGAAAGGUGUUGCCCUGAAUCAUUCUCCAUCCCGGAGGUUGCAGGGGGUUAAAUUUCCUAGUGUUGAUCUUUCCCCUCUCCUUUGAGAACCAUUUCUUCCCCCCUUUAUCUCUGUUAAAAUGUUUGCUGAUGAAAGAGAACAGCCACAUCUUUAAUACAUAUCAAAGCUGGAGGCCUCCCCAUGUUUGGGGGAUCAUUGGUUCCCAGCUGGUAACGGGAGAGUUGGAUGGACCCUUUUCUUUUAUCCAGCUGGCAUGGGAUGAGGAAGUCACUUUGAGUGCAGCAUGGGUCCAGAAGUAUCCCAAGCCCCAUGACAAAGGGUCUCUGUGAGGGGUUGAUUCCCCCUAUGCUAAGAUGUAGCCACCUCUGGGGUGGAUCCAUGGUGGCCAUUAUUUGCUAGUGACAGGGCAUGGACAUUUCUUACCUUUCUUGCUCUCCAGGCCUUUCAUUCUCCUGUUAAAGAAGCACCUCCCAGGGCUCCCUCUUCCUGUGUGACUGGCCAGCAGGGGGUGGUGUAUUGCUGGGGGCCUGGUGGCUGCAGAACAGCAGGGGUGGGUGUCUCUUUGGGAGGCGGAACAGGGGGUUAGAGGGAGACUGGUGCUGUGCCAGGGGCUCCGUCUGGGCUUCCCUGGCUGGCUCCUCCUGAGAUCGUUACCAUGCCUAGCGCACAGAGCUGGGGGAAGAGAUCCCUGGCACUAGGUCAGGGGAUGCCAGGUAAGCAGAGUGAGGGAUCCCACUGUAAAGCAUCAAGGGGUCCUGCUGGGUGGAAGAGGGAGUCCCAGACAAAUGACAUGGCAGAUCCUGCUGGUGGUGGUGUGGGGGGCGGGUCCUAGUCAGGCAGUGAGGAACUGGGUUCCCAGUGGGUGGGUCUCUGGCUGCUGGGGGCUCUUGGUGGGGGAAACCUUUGGGAUUCUCAACCUGACAAUUACGGUCUAGUGGGGAUUCCCUGGCUGGUGCGGCUUUGAGGGGUAUCUGGGAUCCCUGGCUGGGGACUCUGGGGGCUAGGUCCCAGGGAAUAUCUGGUGGGCCCCUGGCUGUGGGAACGUCUACUAAGCAUGAUCCUUCUCCCUGAUCAACUUGUGCCAGAGUCCUGGUUCCAAGCACUGCCCGGCAUUCCCCAGUCAUGUGCCCUGUCACUGUGAUAACUUUCUGUCCACUUAUCAAACACUGUUAGUGUGAAAUCACAGAUUUUGCUUUUCUCCUCUUUUGAAAACUGCAGGAACUUUUGGUUCCAUUUAGAAAAUUGUGCCCCCAUCCUUGUUCUCGAUCUGGGGGGUGAGGGAGAUCAGAAGGGAGUCAGCACUGCCACACGAUGGUCUGUUCCACAGCGUUCUGAACUCAUUCUUUCUGAAAUCAGGUGUCAUUGAGAACAUCGUUAAUCCAGAGUCACUGUAUGGAAAGACAAGGAGUGCCUCCGGGUGGACAGUGGGGCAAAUGAGAUCAGCAGUUCUCCCUAUGAGGAGGGGCUCUUGUUAGCUGCUCUCCCCAGAGAGCUAAAGGAGAGAAGCUGCUCAAAUGCUCUUUCCCUCUCUGCUCAGGAUAUUGGGGUUCAGCUUCCUGGGUCAGAUGCUGCAGCCUCCAUUGUGAUCUGGGAGACCAGGCUUGGCAGCUGCUGCUCCCCCAGUGGGGGUCUGUGCUGGGAAUUGACCUUAAUUAAAGCUGCUUCUCUGCCCGGCCCAGGGGAUGACUUUCUCCAGCUCAUACUAGCCCCCUCGGGCAGCCCUGGGCCCUGUUAAUACUAAAUUCUGAGCCAGACAUUCCAGGUAACUGAAAGAAACUGUUACCGAAAUAUCGGGUCUGCCUAGCUGAGAGCCAAUUAACAGCCUGACAGGGAUAAAGAAAAAUGCUUUAUUCUGCAGAAAAAGGAGAGCCUGUGCCUUGGCACAAAAGACUCUGUCUUACACAAAUUUCACAAACCUUUUAUACACAUUCAGACAAAGCCCCUUGCGUGUUAAUACUUGAUUGGUAAGUGUAAAAUCUCAUGUUCCCCUUAUCUGGGUAGUACUGACUUGGAGAAGGGAAAAUGCUGGGGUCUGGCCUUAAAAUGACUCUACGCAAAGCGGCCCCCCUCAUUUCUGGUCCCAUUAGCAAUUGCAGGAGCAAAUCCAGCCAUGGGGGAGCAAACCACCUGAGAGUGGGACUUUCCUACCAGACGGGCAGGGAGAAGGGACAGGGGAAAGGAGAUAGAAGGAGAAAGAGAGAUUGAAAGGGGCAAUGGGAGAGAAGAGUUUGGAGAGAAAUUUCCAGAUCUCUAAUCUGCCCAGAAAGAUGUAUUACUGCACCCUGGAUAGAGUCACUUUCCUGUAGAAAAGAUGAGUAUCAGACAGAGGAAAAUCCAAUUCCUGACUCCAUAUUCCCCCUGCUGGGGUGUGGCUGCCAUGGGGUCAGAGUUUGAGGGAAUCCCCCACAGUGAAUCCUUUGGUUCUGCUUUUUUCUAGCCUUGUGUUCAGAGACUUUGUUAUGGGAUGGGGGAGGGAGAAGGGAGGUUAAAAAUGUCUCUGUGGGCUUAGCCUGGCAGGAGGAGCCAGGUCUACGCUGUAUAAAGAGAUCAAGCCUUUUCUCAGCAUACCAGACUCUAGGGUGUGUGUCUGCAGGGAAAGGGCCUGGGGGAAUCAUGCUGUGAAAUGAAUUAAAGCCUGUUCUUAAACCUUCACAAUUGCCCUUCUCACCCUGCCAGGCUGUGGAAUAAUGUCCAUGUUUCACUCCAGUUUAUCCCGUCCUCUCGUUGACCAGGGGAGAGAAAUGGCUGCAGAGGAGCCAGUUCAGGGGCCGUGAGCUUCGAGGACGUGGCUAUGUAUUUCACCAGAGAAGAGUGGGCUCUGCUGGACCCCACUCAGAGAUCCCUCUACAGGAAUGUCAUGCAGGAGAAGUACGAGAAUGUGACCUCGCUAGGGACCGGUGACCUUCGAAGAGGUGGCUGUGUAUUUCACCGGGGAAGAGUGGGCUCUGCUGGACCCUACAGGGGUGUCAUGCAGGAGAACUAGGUAGCUAUAUAUGAGGGGUGGUAUGCUGUGCCCCCUCAUAUGAGAAUGUGACCCUUACUCAUCGAGGUCACAGUCUCAUAGUCUCCAUGCUUGCUGUGCUAGGGCGUUUGCGCAGUUCACCCAGGAAAAAAGGCGUGAAACGGUUAUCUGCUGCUUUCACGGAGGGAGGGGUGAGGCUGUACCCAGAACCACCCGUGACAAUGUUUUUUGCCCUGUGGAAGUACCGAAAGAACUGACAGGGAUUUGUAGGGGAACUUAAUGUAUGACAGUCUCUGUUAGCAAGAGUUAAGCUAACUGUAACCCUAAUAAUGCGAAAUUUGUAGAAGUGAGGAUUGUGUGAGGUGAGCAGAAAAGAACUGUGUGAGAAGUUGUUUUGACUUUGUGUAGAUUAUGUGUAGAUAGACUGGCGUCUCUCAGAAAUGAGAAAAACAAGAUAUCAGGAUGAUCUAUGUAUAAACAAAAUGCAGCUGUUGCUUAUUAUUGUCUGUAACAAAAGUAUAAAUGCUUGUUGUAAUUGUUUACCUAUUGAGAGACCUGUCUAGGAAGGGGAGACCCUAUGUCCUAGUGCAC